This 569-nucleotide long non-coding RNA is filed under the name Pongo abelii (Sumatran orangutan). Its description in RNAcentral is "lincRNA". Lineage: Eukaryota; Metazoa; Chordata; Mammalia; Primates; Hominidae. The record is from RNAcentral.
AGCCGACUGGGGAGAUGGGACUAAGACAAUUUGCCAUGUUUAGUCUGUGGUUUUGUGACAACCUAGUGAUGUUAAGAGAAAAUUAAAUACUCGAUAAAAGAGCUUAUUUUAAAAGAUUACAAGCGAAGGGGUCUAGAUUUGGGCUUCUCCUGCGACAUUAAACAUGAGGAUUCACUGUCCAAAUAUGGCUUCUGCAUAUAAGACUCCGAAUUGCAUUUGGUUCCGCUUUCCGACACAGUUAUCUUCUUGGGCGUGGAUUAAAUGAAGAUCUGGGUGUUGAAAGACAUUUACAUAAGUGCUAUUUGUGAACAGGAAGGCCAGUUCUUCUAUUAUCGCCAGAAUAUUUAAAUCUUAAUGACUGGCAUUGUUGUCUAAAAGACGGUGUUUUUCCUGCUGAGAAACUGCAUUAGAUUCAAGAAACGAAGCUCAUUUCCAUUCUCUCAGCAGUCUCUCUAGAAAUGACAUGCAGUGCUUGAAACUGUUUAUUUCCAAAUUCAGGCCUCCCUCGCAUCAGUCAUCAGCUUCAAUUACCAGUUUUCCGGAGCCGAGCCAUCAGGCAGUCUGACACC